Molecule: long non-coding RNA, 1013 nt
Filed under: Mus musculus (house mouse)
Lineage: Eukaryota; Metazoa; Chordata; Mammalia; Rodentia; Muridae
Description: expressed sequence AI480526
Source: RNAcentral
AUCAGACUCCAAGGAGAGGCCAACAGAUGAGGGAGCCAUUUUUCUGCAAUGGAAUUAAAUGGCCAAGUGGGUUUUUCCUUUGUUGCAAAUGGGGAAUGCUUUUCCUUUGACUCCACCAUCCAGUUCAGGACGCCUGAAUGUGUUUAACAUUUGCCAAAGGACUCACACUUGGAAGAAUGAAGACCUUUUAAAAAGAUCUGGAUUUUUCCUUAUGACUUGGAAUCCAUCUUUGUCUUGUAUAACUAGGUCAUAGCACACUAUUAAUGUCAGCAGUUAACAGUUUUGAAUUCAAAAAAACCUAAAGCACUAAACAGCCCUCAGCGAAGCCGCCUUUUUGCCAGCCCAACCCUGGAAAGUUUGCAGUCGUGGAAGGAGCAGAAAUACCACGAGUGUAACUUACAAAGAAGACAAUCCUUGCUUCCUCUGGACAUCUGGAGCAGGCCCAAUUUGACUGAGAGCCUUCCCCCACUAAGUUACAGAUCCAGCCCCACCAUCACCACCAGAGUUGAGUCCAAAUCCAACACUCUAGGCCGGGUAGUGCUGGGACUUUGCCAGCCUCCUGCUGAGAAGUGAAUUCUCCCCUUGGCAAACUGCAGCCAGCCAGCCUCCUGGGUCGAGAGCCAAGCCAAAAGAUGUCUGAGAGAAGAAACCUGGGGUCCUGCAAAGCCCUCCUCCUCCCCCCCCCCCCCCUUCAGCCAGCACUUAGGCCCUCCCUGAUUUAGCCCGUUACCUUGACAACCACUUGGGCCUGUCUCCCUCAUCACCACUGAAAACCUGAAGGUGGUUUUCCAGCUGCGGUACAUUUGCCCAAGUUGGGCACCCCUCCAGCUUCUAUUGGCUCGCCCUCUAUACAGCUGUACCCAAUAUAACAAACACAACCUUCCUGGCCCCUCAGCUGUAGUCUCGAAAUUGAUCUCACUGGUCCCGGGAACUCCGUCAAUACUGCCUCCUCUAGACUGAGCUCCUCACAGGCAGGAACAUGGUUGUUUCUCAAUAAACAAGUUGCAAAAAAA